GAGCUUGUCUCUCGGGUGACGAGUGGCGCACGGGUGAGUAAUGUCUGGGAAACUGCCUGAUGGAGGGGGAUAACUACUGGAAACGGUAGCUAAUACCCCAUAACGUCGCAAGACCAAAGAGGGGGACCUUCGGGCCUCUUGCCAUCAGAUGUGCCCAGAUGGGAUUAGCUAGUAGGUGGGGUAACGGCUCACCUAGGCGACGAUCCCUAGCUGGUCUGAGAGGAUGACCAGCCACACUGGAACUGAGACACGGUCCAGACUCCUACGGGAGGCAGCAGUGGGGAAUAUUGCACAAUGGGCGCAAGCCUGAUGCAGCCAUGCCGCGUGUAUGAAGAAGGCCUUCGGGUUGUAAAGUACUUUCAGCGGGGAGGAAGGGAAUAAGGUUAAUAACCUUGUCGAUUGACGUUACCCGCAAAAAAAGCACCGGGCUAACUCC
RNAcentral lists this ribosomal RNA (436 nucleotides) under Klebsiella oxytoca. RNAcentral describes it as "bacterial SSU rRNA". It matches the Rfam family "Bacterial small subunit ribosomal RNA", at positions 64 to 504 of the family's 1533-position model. Lineage: Bacteria; Pseudomonadati; Pseudomonadota; Gammaproteobacteria; Enterobacterales; Enterobacteriaceae. The record is from RNAcentral.